RNAcentral lists this ribosomal RNA (673 nucleotides) under uncultured Zoogloea sp. Its description in RNAcentral is "bacterial SSU rRNA". It matches the Rfam family "Bacterial small subunit ribosomal RNA", at positions 94 to 764 of the family's 1533-position model. The record is from RNAcentral. Lineage: Bacteria; Pseudomonadati; Pseudomonadota; Betaproteobacteria; Rhodocyclales; Zoogloeaceae.
AGUGGCGAACGGGUGAGUAAUGCAUCGGAACGUACCGUGUAGUGGGGGAUAACGUAGCGAAAGUUACGCUAAUACCGCAUACGCCCUGAGGGGGAAAGUGGGGGACCGCAAGGCCUCACGCUAUAUGAGCGGCCGAUGUCGGAUUAGCUAGUUGGUAGGGUAAAGGCCUACCAAGGCGACGAUCCGUAGCGGGUCUGAGAGGAUGAUCCGCCACACUGGGACUGAGACACGGCCCAGACUCCUACGGGAGGCAGCAGUGGGGAAUUUUGGACAAUGGGCGCAAGCCUGAUCCAGCCAUGCCGCGUGAGUGAAGAAGGCCUUCGGGUUGUAAAGCUCUUUCAGACGGAAAGAAAUCUCUCGGGAUAACACCCUGGGAGGAUGACGGUACCGUAAGAAGAAGCACCGGCUAACUACGUGCCAGCAGCCGCGGUAAUACGUAGGGUGCGAGCGUUAAUCGGAAUUACUGGGCGUAAAGCGUGCGCAGGCGGUGAUGUAAGACAGAUGUGAAAUCCCCGGGCUCAACCUGGGAACUGCGUUUGUGACUGCAUCACUCGAGUACGGCAGAGGGAGGUGGAAUUCCGCGUGUAGCAGUGAAAUGCGUAGAUAUGCGGAGGAACACCGAUGGCGACGCAGCCUCCUGGGCCAGUACUGACGCUCAUGCACGAAAGCGUGG